This 511-nucleotide ribosomal RNA is filed under the name uncultured bacterium. RNAcentral's name for it is "bacterial SSU rRNA". It matches the Rfam family "Bacterial small subunit ribosomal RNA", at positions 8 to 518 of the family's 1533-position model. The record is from RNAcentral.
AGAGUUUGAUCAUGGCUCAGGAUGAACGCUGGCGGCGUGCCUAACACAUGCAAGUCGAGCGAAGUUACUUCGGGAAGCCUUCGGGUGGAAUGGAUUUAACUUAGCGGCGGACGGGUGAGUAACGCGUGGGCAACCUACCCUGUACAGGGGAAUAACAAUGGGAAACCAUUGCUAAUACCCCAUAAUACCUUUUGGGGGCAUCCCUUAAAGGUCAAAGAAUUUCGGUAUAGGAUGGGCCCGCGUCGCAUUAGCUAGUUGGUAAGGUAAUGGCUUGCCAAGGCGACGAUGCGUAGCCGGCCUGAGAGGGUGAACGGCCACACUGGAACUGAGACACGGUCCAGACUCCUACGGGAGGCAGCAGUGGGGAAUAUUGCACAAUGGGGGAAAAACCCCCUGAUGCAGCAACGCCGCGUGAGCGAUGAAGGCUUUCGGGUCGUAAAGCUCUGUCCUAAGGGAAGAUAAUGACGGUACCUUAGGAGGAAGCCCCGGCUAACUACGUGCCAGCCGCCGC